ACUGACACUCAAGGACGAAAGCUAGGGGAGCAAAUGGGAUUAGAGACCCCAGUAGUCUUAGCAGUAGACGAUGAGUACUAGAUGUUGGACGCACGGUAAUAUAUAAUCUAUUUAUCUACUCGUUCGGUAUCUAAGCUAACGCAAUAAGUACUCCGCCUGAGGAGUACGCUCGCAAGGGUGAAACUCAAAGGAAUUGACGGGGGCUCGUACAAGCGGCGGAGCAUGUGGUUUAAUUUGAUGCAAAGCAAAAAAUCUUACCAGAGCUUGAAGUUGAAAUUUUCAAAUUUAAUCGAUUUGAAAAGCCAUAAAUUGGCAAAAACGAGGUGGUGCAUGGCUGUCGUCAGCUCGUGUCGUGAGACGUUGGGUUAAUUCCCUUAACGAGCGCAACCCUUGUCAUAAGUUCUUUUGUCUUAUGAGAAGGCUCGAUUCGUCGAGAUUAAGAGGAGGAUGACGUCAAGUCAUCAUGCCCUUUAUGCUCUGGGCUACACACGUGCUACAAUGGUCGUUACAAUAAGUACUGAAGAAAAAAACGUAUAACGAUUAUACGUUUAAUUUUAACGUAAGUAUGAAAAUAUUUACAAAUCUUUAAAAGCGUAGCCCUAAUAUGAAUCGUGGACUGAAACUCGUCCACGUCAAACCGGAGUCGCUAGUAAUCGCCGGUCACCAUUACGGCGGUGAAUACGUAACCGAGCCUUGUACACACCGCCCGUCA
This 712-nucleotide ribosomal RNA is filed under the name Chromera velia. Its description in RNAcentral is "SSU rRNA". It matches the Rfam family "Bacterial small subunit ribosomal RNA", at positions 739 to 1399 of the family's 1533-position model. The record is from RNAcentral. Lineage: Eukaryota; Chromeraceae.